GAGAUGGAUUGGUGCCUUCGGGAACUGUGAGACAGGUGCUGCAUGGCUGUCGUCAGCUCGUGUUGUGAAAUGUUGGGUUAAGUCCCGCAACGAGCGCAACCCUUAUCCUUUGUUGCCAGCGGUUAGGCCGGGAACUCAAAGGAGACUGCCAGUGAUAAACUGGAGGAAGGUGGGGAUGACGUCAAGUCAUCAUGGCCCUUACGACCAGGGCUACACACGUGCUACAAUGGCAUAUACAAAGAGAAGCGACCUCGCGAGAGCAAGCGGACCUCAUAAAGUAUGUCGUAGUCCGGAUUGGAGUCUGCAACUCGACUCCAUGAAGUCGGAAUCGCUAGUAAUCGUAGAUCAGAAUGCUACGGUGAAUACGUUCCCGGGUCUUG
RNAcentral lists this ribosomal RNA (380 nucleotides) under Klebsiella sp. GM51. RNAcentral describes it as "bacterial SSU rRNA". It matches the Rfam family "Bacterial small subunit ribosomal RNA", at positions 1003 to 1383 of the family's 1533-position model. Lineage: Bacteria; Pseudomonadati; Pseudomonadota; Gammaproteobacteria; Enterobacterales; Enterobacteriaceae. The record is from RNAcentral.